AUGGUGGGUACCGUUGCCAAGGACGUGACGACCGAGCCGGAGCUGCUGCUGGAGCGCAGCCGGGCGAUCACCGUGCAUGGCAGCGACAAGGAGGGCCGCGCCGUCGUCAGGAUCGUCGGCGAGUACUUCCCCGCGCGCGCGCUGGGCGGGCGGGCGGAGGAGGCGCUCAAGGCGCACCUGCGGAAGCGGGUGCUCCCGGAGGUCGGGGAACGGGAGUUCGUGGUCGUGUACAUGCACUCCCUCGUCGACCGCGGCGACAACUUCCCCGGCCUGGGCGCCAUCCGCGCAGCGUACGAGUGCCUGCCGGCCGCGGCCAAGGAGAGGCUGCGCGCCGUCUACUUCGUGCACCCCGGCAUCCAGGCCCGGCUCUUCUUCGCAACCUUCGGCCGGUUCCUCUUCAGCUCCGGGUUGUACGAGAAGCUGAGGUACAUGAGCAGGCUCGAAUACCUGUGGGCGCACAUAGACAAGGGGGAGCUGGAGGUCCCGGAGUGUGCGCGCCGGCACGACGACGAGCUGGAGCGCCGCCCGCUCAUGGACUACGGAAUCGAGGCGGCCGACCGCUGUUCCGUGUUCGACGCCGCGUCCAUGGACACACCGGCGUCCCUGCGCUCGCUGCGUUGCUCCUAG
This 627-nucleotide ribosomal RNA is filed under the name Triticum aestivum (bread wheat). RNAcentral describes it as "partial small subunit ribosomal RNA". The record is from RNAcentral. Lineage: Eukaryota; Viridiplantae; Streptophyta; Magnoliopsida; Poales; Poaceae.